RNAcentral lists this ribosomal RNA (586 nucleotides) under uncultured bacterium. RNAcentral's name for it is "bacterial SSU rRNA". It matches the Rfam family "Bacterial small subunit ribosomal RNA", at positions 144 to 729 of the family's 1533-position model. The record is from RNAcentral.
UAACACUGAGAAAUUGGUACUAAUACCCCAUAAUAUCUCAUGCGGCAUCGCAUGGGGUUGAAAACUCCGGUGGUUGAUGAUGGGCAUGCGUUGUAUUAGCUGGUUGGUGAGGUAACGGCUCACCAAGGCGACGAUACAUAGGGGGACUGAGAGGUUAACCCCCCACAUUGGUACUGAGACACGGACCAAACUCCUACGGGAGGCAGCAGUGAGGAAUAUUGGUCAAUGGACGCAAGUCUGAACCAGCCAUGCCGCGUGCAGGAUGACGGCUCUAUGAGUUGUAAACUGCUUUUGUACGAGGGUAAACCCCGAUACGUGUAUCGGGUUGAAAGUAUCGUACGAAUAAGGAUCGGCUAACUCCGUGCCAGCAGCCGCGGUAAUACGUAGGGGGCAAGCGUUAUCCGGAUUUACUGGGUGUAAAGGGAGCGUAGACGGUGAAGCAAGUCUGAAGUGAAAGGCGGGGGCUCAACCCCCGGACUGCUUUGGAAACUGUUUGACUGGAGUGCAGGAGAGGUAAGUGGAAUUCCUAGUGUAGCGGUGAAAUGCGUAGAUAUUAGGAGGAACACCAGUGGCGAAGGCGGCUUAC